GAUGAACGCUGGCGGCGUGCCUAAUACAUGCAAGUCGAGCGAACGGACGAGAAGCUUGCUUCUCUGAUGUUAGCGGCGGACGGGUGAGUAACACGUGGAUAACCUACCUAUAAGACUGGGAUAACUUCGGGAAACCGGAGCUAAUACCGGAUGAUAUUUUGAACCGCAUGGUUCAAAAGUGAAAGACGGUCUUGCUGUCACUUAUAGAUGGAUCCGUGCUGCAUUAGCUAGUUGGUAAGGUAACGGCUUACCAAGGCAACGAUGCAUAGCCGACCUGAGAGGGUGAUCGGCCACACUGGAACUUAGACACGGUCCAGACUCCUACGGGAGGCAGCAGUAGGGAAUCUUCCGCAAAGGGCGAAAGCCUGACGGUGCAACGCCUCGUGAGUGAUGAAGGUCUUCGGAUCGUAAAACUCUGUUAUUAGGGAAGAACAUAUGUGUAAGUAACUGUGCACAUCUUGACGGUACCUAAUCAGAAAGCCACGGCUAACUACGUG
This 497-nucleotide ribosomal RNA is filed under the name uncultured bacterium. RNAcentral describes it as "partial 16S ribosomal RNA". It matches the Rfam family "Bacterial small subunit ribosomal RNA", at positions 28 to 507 of the family's 1533-position model. The record is from RNAcentral.